AGCGUAGGUGGCCUAACAUGUCAACUGUGAAAACCCGGAGCUCAACUCCGGACUUGCAGUUGAAACUGGUAAGGCUUGAGGACGGUAGAGGAAGACGGAACUGCCAGUGUAGGGGUAAAAUCCUUAGAUAUUGGCAGGAACGCCGGUGACGAAGGUGGUUUUCUGGGCCGGUUCUGACACUGAUGCUCGAAAGCCAGGGGAGCGAACG
This 208-nucleotide ribosomal RNA is filed under the name uncultured Mesotoga sp. Its description in RNAcentral is "partial 16S ribosomal RNA". It matches the Rfam family "Bacterial small subunit ribosomal RNA", at positions 568 to 774 of the family's 1533-position model. Lineage: Bacteria; Thermotogati; Thermotogota; Thermotogae; Kosmotogales; Kosmotogaceae. The record is from RNAcentral.